Nothobranchius furzeri (turquoise killifish) is the source of this 764-nucleotide non-coding RNA. The record is from RefSeq and is a predicted model, not a curated record. Lineage: Eukaryota; Metazoa; Chordata; Actinopteri; Cyprinodontiformes; Nothobranchiidae.
GAGGAGAGCGUUCCUGCCGAUGCUCACGUAGGCCCACAGCUGCAGAGAGGCACAGUUGCCACUCGCGUCUUUGUGUCGCACCAACACCCCUGAUUCUGUUCUGCCGGUCCCUCCCUCCUCCAGACAGCCCUCUCAGUUUUGUCACGCUGCUAGUCACACUCCCUGCCUCGCGCCUCUGAAAUCCAACGCACAUAAAGGGGCGUUUGACGAUAAAUGGCUGCACUGACGGGGAUGCAGACAGGACUUUGCAUACAGGUCAGACUGGUCUCAAAGGAGGCCACAUGCCUAGAAUCCCUGAGCUGCAGCAAAAGUUUAUAUUAAAGGUCAGAAAGUUGUGCCUCUGCUGGAAAACUUUUACAUUUUAUUUUAGGGAAAAAACUGCAUUUAAAACUGCGGUUAACAGUCUUUGCACCUGGUCCUUGUGACAUCAUCGCCCCAUCUGAUGCAGCCAUUCUGCUCGGCUGCCUGCUGACUAGUGACAUCACCCUCCUCCUCCUCCUCCUCACACGCUGAUGCGGUGCCAGAAAGCUCAUAUGAUCCACCUGCAGGAACAAGAAAAGCAUAUACUGGAAAUGAGGAAAGCACUGGGAGGAUGAAACCGGACAAAAAAUGCAAGACAGAAUUCAACAAUGGGUUCAUUUGAGCUGCAAUUUAAUGCAGUAAUUGUCCUGUUUACUAAUUAUUAUACAGUUCAGGUCUUUAUCAUCGGAUUUUAUUAAAUGCAAAUUUUGGAAAGCUAACGAAGCCAAUGGAUUGUUGGCUUA